UUAUAAGAUCCCUCAAAGAUGAUGAGGUUAAUAGGUUCGAGGUGGAAGCAUGGUGACAUGUGGAGCUGACGAAUACUAAUCGAUCGAAGACUUAAUCAA
This 99-nucleotide ribosomal RNA is filed under the name Staphylococcus aureus. RNAcentral's name for it is "partial 23S ribosomal RNA". It matches the Rfam family "Bacterial large subunit ribosomal RNA", at positions 2826 to 2925 of the family's 2925-position model. Lineage: Bacteria; Bacillati; Bacillota; Bacilli; Caryophanales; Staphylococcaceae. The record is from RNAcentral.